Molecule: non-coding RNA, 28 nt
Filed under: Mus musculus (house mouse)
Lineage: Eukaryota; Metazoa; Chordata; Mammalia; Rodentia; Muridae
Source: RNAcentral
UGCUGCAUGUUUUUAAUUAGCAACUGAA